GAUGAAGAACGUAGCGAAAUGCGAUAAGUAAUGUGAAUUGCAGAAUUCAGUGAAUCAUCGAAUCUUUGAACGCACAUUGCGCCCAUUAGCAUUCUAGUGGGCAUGCCUGUUCGAGCGUCAUUUCAACCCUUAAGCCCUGUUGCUUAGCGUUGGGAGCCUACAGUACUGUAGCUCCCCAAAGUUAGUGGCGGAGUCGGUUUCACACUCUAGACGUAGUAAUUUUUUCUCGUCUGUAGUUGAGCCGGUCCCCUGCCGUAAAACACCCAAUUUAUCAAGGUUGACCUCGGAUCAGGUAGGAAUACCCGCUGAACUUAAGCAUAUAAAUAAGCGGAGGA
This 335-nucleotide unclassified non-coding RNA is filed under the name soil metagenome. RNAcentral's name for it is "partial contains 5.8S ribosomal RNA, internal transcribed spacer 2, and large subunit ribosomal RNA". The stretch from base 1 to 120 matches the Rfam family "5.8S ribosomal RNA", at positions 35 to 154 of the family's 154-position model. The record is from RNAcentral.